UCAUUGAUGGGCAGCUAAUCUCCAUUUGAAGCUCGUAAAUAAUGUCAGUUUCCCCAUUAAAAGCUACUAGUUUUUAGUGGGUAGCAUAAACUUUCCCAAUUCGGUGCUGUGAAUUAGAUUGUAAUGGCCGACAAUAAAUGUAGCCAACCAGUAAAGUGAUAGUUUUUAAGCCAUAAGAAUGCUC
Molecule: long non-coding RNA, 184 nt
Organism: Coffea eugenioides
Lineage: Eukaryota; Viridiplantae; Streptophyta; Magnoliopsida; Gentianales; Rubiaceae
Exons: 3
Source: RefSeq, a predicted model, not a curated record